This is a small nuclear RNA of Callithrix jacchus (white-tufted-ear marmoset), 141 nucleotides long. Its record names the gene U4. It matches the Rfam family "U4 spliceosomal RNA". From Rfam's summary of the family: U4 small nuclear RNA (U4 snRNA) is a component of the major U2-dependent spliceosome. The structure of U4 snRNA from yeast and human has been reported. U4 snRNA presents a k-turn RNA motif in the 5p-SL related to recognition of Snu13 protein. NCBI's taxonomy places the organism in Eukaryota, Metazoa, Chordata, Mammalia, Primates, Cebidae. The record is from Ensembl.
AGCUUGGCACAGUGGCAGUAUUGUAGCCAAUGAGAUUUAUCUGAGGCUUGAUUAUUGCUAAUUGAAAACUUUUACCAAUACCCCACCAUGACAACUUGCAAUAUAGUUGGCAUUGGCAAUUUUUGACAGUCUCUACGGAGA